Molecule: ribosomal RNA, 117 nt
Filed under: Carnobacterium divergens
Lineage: Bacteria; Bacillati; Bacillota; Bacilli; Lactobacillales; Carnobacteriaceae
Source: RNAcentral
UGUGGUGGCGACAGCGAGAAGGAUACACCUGUUCCCAUGCCGAACACAGAAGUUAAGCUUCUCAGCGCCGAUAGUAGUUAGGGGUUUCCCCUUGUGAGGGUAGGACGUUGCCACGCU